UACAGAGGAUGCAAGCGUUAUCCGGAAUGAUUGGGCGUAAAGCGUCUGUAGGUGGCUUUUUAAGUCCGCCGUCAAAUCCCAGGGCUCAACUCUGGACAGGCGGUGGAAACUACCAAGCUGGAGUACGGUAGGGGCAGAGGGAAUUUCCGGUGGAGCGGUGAAAUGCGUAGAGAUUAGGAAGAACACCAGUGGCGAAGGCGAUUCUCUGGACCAUAACUGACGCUGAGGCAUGAAAGCGUGGGUAGCAAACAGG
Molecule: ribosomal RNA, 253 nt
Filed under: uncultured bacterium
Lineage: Bacteria
Description: partial 16S ribosomal RNA
Rfam family: Bacterial small subunit ribosomal RNA
Source: RNAcentral